CCGUGAAGAUUGAGCUUAUGCUGUGAAGAUUAAGCCUUUGUCGUGAAGAUUGAACCUCGCCGUGAAGAUUGAGCUUUUGCUGUGAAGAUUGAGCUUAUGCCGUGAAGAUUGCGCUUAUGCCGUGAAGAUCAAAUCUUUGCCGUGAAGAUUGGACCUUGCCGUGAAGAUUGAGCUUUUGCCGUGAAGAUUGAGCUUAUGCUGUGAAGAUUAAGCCUUUGUCGUGAAGAUUGAACCUCGCCGUGAAGAUUGAGCUUUUGCUGUGAAGAUUGAGCUUAUGUCGUGAAGAUUAAGCCUUUGCCGUGAAGAUUGAGCUUAUGCCUUGAAGAUUGAGCUUUUGCUGUGAAGAUUGAGCUUAUGUCGUGAAGAUUAAGCCUUUGCCGUGAAGAUUGAGCUUUUGCCGUGAAGAUUGAGCUUUUGCCGUGAAGAUUGAGCUUAUGCCGUGAAGAUUAAGCCUUUGCCGUGAAGAUUGAGCUUUUGCCGUGAACAGCUUGUGUUGCAUGUCCAGCUUUCCUGUGCGCCUCUUGUGUGCGAUUUGUGUAGGUGACGGUUGGCUGUUGAUGCCCUUAGUGCCCACACCUCCAUGAGGCAGACACAGCCUGUUGCAGACGGAGGUUAAGAGGGAUACAUUGAGGUGCAGCUGUGGUCGUUUCGGCUUUGUAAUCCUGCCAGACUACACUUCAAGUUUUGCACUAAGCCAUCUGCAUUUGUGGUGCCUUACGACUUUCGUGAGAGUGCCUGGAAGAUCGUUUGCCUGUUCUGACUACCAUGUGAUGUUUAUUAGUUGCCUUUGCCCCACUAUGCGAUUCCCUGCAUGAUAUCCUCGACGUCUCCCACAGGGUGUUGAGUCGGUGGCGGGCCAAAGGUGUCAGCGCCAGAGGGAUACUGGUCUGAGACAGGGGUUGCUUGUUUGUGCAUGCUAUGCUAUGAUAUGUAUGCAUUUGCUUGCUGUGUUGUGUAGCAUUGUUUGGUGGUGGGGGUGGUGGUAGUUCCUUAAUACGCAUGCCUCACUUGGACUUAGACUUUUAGUAUGAUACCAUAUGGGCUUCAGACCAGACCUUCAGGCCCCACACCUUCAGGCCCCACAGAUGUGGCUGCAGACACUCUGUGUGUAUGCCCUAUGGCCUUCGGGCUUUGGGUUUGCCGACACUGUAAAAAUAAUAAAUAAUAAAAUCAGAUGAUGGUUCAUAGUGUCACUUUCUCUAUGAAAUACAUGUA
RNAcentral lists this long non-coding RNA (1215 nucleotides) under Coccomyxa subellipsoidea. RNAcentral's name for it is "long non-coding RNA (CSUB_LNC000237)". The record is from RNAcentral. Lineage: Eukaryota; Viridiplantae; Chlorophyta; Trebouxiophyceae; Coccomyxaceae.